RNAcentral lists this long non-coding RNA (973 nucleotides) under Phoenix dactylifera (date palm). Its description in RNAcentral is "long non-coding RNA (PDAC_LNC009946)". Lineage: Eukaryota; Viridiplantae; Streptophyta; Magnoliopsida; Arecales; Arecaceae. The record is from RNAcentral.
UCCCAGUCAUCCCGCGCGUCUCCUUCCUUCCCGUGAUCCCACUCUUCACGCGGCGGCUUCCCAGCCAUUGCAUCUCAUCCCAAGCAAUCAUCCGAGUCCCAGCCAUCCACGAAGCUUCCAAUUCGGCCAUCCACUUCCGUUUCUAGCCAUCAAGGAGCCCGUGAAGCCAGCCAUCAUCUUCUUCAACCUUCCGCGCAUCCCUCACGCGAUCAGCACCCGUCCGCUUCUUUCCCCAUUUCAAAAAUCCUCCCAGCAAGGCGUGAUCUCAGACACCAUUUCCAGCUUCUUCCGGAACCGACCCAGCCUCCUCAGCGAUCCAGCCGUCCGCAGUGAUCUUCCAUCUCCGCAUCCAAGCAUCCGCGGCAUCUUCUUCUUCCGCUCGUCCCAGAGCAUUCACAGCAGCGGAAUGGCAGCCCAAUCAUCCGGAUCCACGUCUCUGCCUUCCCACGGAUCCCGCGUCCGUUCCGAGUCCGCCUCCUUUGAAGCCAGUGAUGCAUCCCAAGAUUGCUCCUCCCAGCUUCUUCCGUCCGACUCCAAGCCGUGAUCCCUUCCUCCCGUCGAUCCCGCGGCGCUCUUCAUCCGGAUCCAGCCGUUCCCCCCACGGAUCAUGCGCGAUCCCAGCACCCCAUCCGCAUCCGGGUACCCCGCGGCCAGCCGGGAUGAGCAUCCCGGACGAUCCUCUCCACAAAAGCCGGCUUCAAAGAGGUGGGGGCGACUAUAAAAGAGGGGGAGGAGAGCUUGGUUUGGGGGGUGGCCGGCGGGUCCAAGGAGGAGGAGGAGAGCUCGGUUGAGAAGGAAAACAGAGCAUUGCUCUGUUCUUGGGGGAAAGAAGAAAGAAUUAAAAAAUAGAGGAGGGAAGAAAGAGGAGUUUUCUAAUUUCUUUUAUUCCUUCCUUUGAUUUUUAUAUUUUAUUUUGUAGAAGGAGGAGGCAAUAGGCUUCCAAACUUCAUUUUAUUUCUUUUGUAAUUGUCCU